Molecule: ribosomal RNA, 1169 nt
Filed under: Candidatus Saccharibacteria bacterium CG10_big_fil_rev_8_21_14_0_10_47_8
Lineage: Bacteria; Candidatus Saccharimonadota
Description: bacterial SSU rRNA
Rfam family: Bacterial small subunit ribosomal RNA
Source: RNAcentral
UUUUUGAAGAGUUUGAUCCUGGCUCAGGAUGAACGCUGGCGGCGUGCCUAAUACAUGCAAGUCGAGCGACAGUGCUUCUCACUGGCGUGAGGAAGCAUUUAACAUUAGCCAAAUUCACAUUUAACAAAUUAUUUUUCAAUUGGCCAUUAGCUAAACAUUUGGAAAAUGAUAACUGGUAAAUAAUUGAGAAUUGGUAAAUGAAAAAUGAUAAAUUUCCGAGCGUGAGUGAGGAGUAUAUGGAGCGGCGGACGGCUGAGUAACGCGCAGGAACGUACCCCGAAGUGAGGGAUAAGCACCAGAAAUGGUGUCUAAUACCGCAUGCGGUGCUUCUCAUCAAGAUUCGAACACAUUUAACAGUUCACAUUUACCAUUUACCAAUUAAUUCACAUUUACCAUUUCGAAAGAUUUGAUAAAUGGAAAUUGAUAAAUAAUUUGGAAAAUGAAAACUGGAAAAUGAUAAAUUCGGGCUUUGAUGAGAAGUAUCAAAGCCCUCGGGCGCUUUGGGAGCGGCCUGCGUACGAUUAGCUUGUUGGUGAGGUAAAAGCUCACCAAGGCGACGAUCGUUAACUGGUCUGAGAGGAUGAUCAGUCAGACUGGAACUGAGACACGGUCCAGACUCCUACGGGAGGCAGCAGUAGGGAAUUUUCCACAAUGGGCGAAAGCCUGAUGGAGCAACGCCGCGUGCAGGAGGAAGGCCCUUGGGUCGUAAACUGCUUUUAUGUGUGACGAUUUUGACGGUAGCAUAUGAAUAAGGAUCGGCUAACUCCGUGCCAGCAGCCGCGGUCAUACGGAGGAUCCAAGCGUUAUCCGGAAUUACUGGGCGUAAAGAGUUGCGUAGGUGGCAGAGUAAGCGAAGCAUGAAAUCUUAAGGCUCAACCUUAAGUCUAUGCUUUGAACUACUCAGCUUGAGAAUGAGAGAGGUAGAUGGAAUUGCUAGUGUAGGAGUGAAAUCCGUAGAUAUUAGCAGGAACACCGAUGGCGUAGGCAGUCUACUGGCUCAUUUCUGACACUAAGGCACGAAAGCGUGGGGAGCGAACGGGAUUAGAUACCCCGGUAGUCCACGCCCUAAACGAUGGAUGCUAGCUGUUAGAAGUAUCGACCCUUCUAGUAGCGAAGCUAACGCGUUAAGCAUCCCGCCUGGGGAGUACGGUCGCAAGAUUAAAACUCAA